Castor canadensis (American beaver) is the source of this 597-nucleotide non-coding RNA. Lineage: Eukaryota; Metazoa; Chordata; Mammalia; Rodentia; Castoridae. The record is from the annotation of a RefSeq genome assembly.
AUGAUCUCCAGUGAUUCCAACCAGAAACUGAGCUGGAUGCCUUCAAAGGGUCUGCUGUCCAUGGAGCAUCUCUCAUUGAUGCUGGACUCCUUUAUGAAGGAACUGGUGAUCAGCACUGAACAUAGACCACUCACUGUGGUGCUGGGACUGAGCUGGAUUUUCCUUGUUGCUAUUUUUAAAGGUGUCCAGUGUGAGGUGCAGCCUGGGGGAGGCUUGGUGCAGCUUGGAGGGGCUCUGAAAUUCUCGUGUGCAGCCUCUGUAUUCACCUUCAGUAGACCCAUGGGCUGGGGCCGCCAGCCUCUAGGAAAAGGGCUGGAGUUCAUUGCAUCAAUUAGCAGCAGUGGUGGUAGCACUUACUACGCAGACUCUGUGAAGGGCCGAGUCACCAUCUCCAGAGACAAUAACAAGAACCAGCUGUAUCUGCAAAUGAACAGCCUGAGAGCUGAGGACACAGCCGUGUAUUACUGUGCAAGAGACACAAUGAGAGUCUUCAGUGUGAAUCCAGUCAUAAACCUCUCUGAAGUGCUAUUCUUGACCAGCAGCUGGCGGUCAGCACACACUGAACUCAAGGUCAGUUUUGUGGAGGUGCUGCCAUGA